RNAcentral lists this ribosomal RNA (330 nucleotides) under uncultured bacterium. RNAcentral's name for it is "bacterial SSU rRNA". It matches the Rfam family "Bacterial small subunit ribosomal RNA", at positions 568 to 898 of the family's 1533-position model. The record is from RNAcentral.
CACGUAGGCGGUCGAGCAAGUCCAUUGUGAAAUCCCCCGGCCUAACCGAGGAACUGCAUUGGAUACUACUGACUUGAGUGCAGGAGGGGAGAGUGGAAUUCCAGGUGGAGCGGUGAAAUGCGUAGAUAUCUGGAGGAACGCCGGCGGCGAAAGCGACUCUCUGGUCUGUAACUGACGCUGAGGUGCGAAAGCUAGGGGAGCAAACGGGAUUAGAUACCCCGGUAGUCCUAGCCCUAAACGAUGGGCACUAAGUAGGGGGAAUCCUAUAUUCUCUCUGCCGGAGUUAAUACAUUAAGUGCCCCGCCUGGGGAGUAUGGUCGCAAGGCUAAA